This 289-nucleotide unclassified non-coding RNA is filed under the name uncultured fungus. RNAcentral's name for it is "partial contains 5.8S rRNA, ITS2 and 28S rRNA". It matches the Rfam family "Eukaryotic large subunit ribosomal RNA", at positions 668 to 961 of the family's 3401-position model. Lineage: Eukaryota; Fungi. The record is from RNAcentral.
AAGGAGUCUAACAUAUCUGCGAGUAUUUGGGUGUCAAACCCGAGUGCGCAAUGAAAGUGAACGUAGGAGCCACGCGCAAGCUGCAGCUUCGACCGUUCUGGAUCUUUAGUGAUGGAUUUGAGUAAGAGCAUAUAUGUUGGGACCCGAAAGAUGGUGAACUAUGCCUGAAUAGGGCGAAGCCAGAGGAAACUCUGGUGGAGGCUCGUAGCGAUUCUGACGUGCAUAUCGAUCGUCCAAUUUGGGUAUAGGUGCGAAAGACUAAUCGAACCAUCUAGUAGAUGGUUCCUGC